AGUCACGCACUCAGCUCUGCUCCAGGAAUGAUCAAUAUUGCACACUCUCUGAUUGGCUCCUUCUGAAGUCCCCUGAGCUGCCACCUAAACAAUGCCAGUGGGCAACCCAGGUCACCUGCACGACCCCAGCCCGGGGAGGGCCCCGGCGGCCCCGGUGGUCCCCCGGAGGUGAGCAGAGGGGAAGAGGGGCGCAUCUCAGAAUCACCGGAAGUGACUCGACUCUCCAGAGGUCGUGGUAGACCCAGGCUGCUCACUCCCAGCCCCACAACCGACCUCCACUCUGGACUCCAGAUGCGGAGGGCGAGGAGCCCCGACCUGUUCACCCCCCUCUCUCGCCCUCCCUCGCCUCUGAGCCUCCCCCGUCCCCGUUCUGCCCCUGCGCGGCGACCCCCUGCCCCCUCAGGAGACACAGCACCCCCUGCCCGACCUCACACCCCGUUGAGUCGCAUUGAUGUCCGACCUCCUCUGGAUUGGGGCCCCCAACGCCAGACCCUCUCCCGACCCCCUACUCCCCGCCGAGGACCUCCCUCUGAGGCUGGGGGAGGAAAGCCCCCCAGGAGUCCCCAGCACUGGAGUCAGGAGCCCAGAACACA
This 593-nucleotide long non-coding RNA is filed under the name Homo sapiens (human). Its description in RNAcentral is "non-protein coding lnc-TULP2-3:1". Lineage: Eukaryota; Metazoa; Chordata; Mammalia; Primates; Hominidae. The record is from RNAcentral.